UCGUGUUGCUUAUUCUUUAGUUUUCUGUGUUAUGUCAUGUGUACUAUUGUUUAUCUGUUUGUCUUUUUCAUUUUUAGCCAUGGCGUUGUCAGUUUAUUUCCAAUUUAUGAGUUUGACUAAUCCUCUGGUAUCUUUCGUUCCUCUUUUAGAGAUGUUAGAGGUAUUCAUAUUUUAAAGUCUUAACUUUAUACAAAUGUGGAAUCUAAAAUGAA
RNAcentral lists this long non-coding RNA (212 nucleotides) under Mytilus galloprovincialis (Mediterranean mussel). Lineage: Eukaryota; Metazoa; Mollusca; Bivalvia; Mytilida; Mytilidae. The record is from RNAcentral.